UACAGAGGGUGCAAGCGUUGUUCGGAAUUAUUGGGCGUAAAGGGCGCGUAGGCGGUGCGGUAAGUCUGUAGUGAAAUCUCUGGGCUCAACUCAGAGUCUGCUGCAGAAACUGCCGUGCUUGAGUGUGGGAGAGGUGAGUGGAAUUCCCGGUGUAGCGGUGAAAUGCGUAGAUAUCGGGAGGAACAUCUGUGGCGAAGGCGGCCACCUGGACCAGCACUGACACUGAGGCACGAAAGCGUGGGGAGCAAACAGG
This 253-nucleotide ribosomal RNA is filed under the name uncultured bacterium. RNAcentral's name for it is "partial 16S ribosomal RNA". It matches the Rfam family "Bacterial small subunit ribosomal RNA", at positions 524 to 776 of the family's 1533-position model. The record is from RNAcentral.